Molecule: unclassified non-coding RNA, 4590 nt
Filed under: Sitophilus oryzae (rice weevil)
Lineage: Eukaryota; Metazoa; Arthropoda; Insecta; Coleoptera; Curculionidae
Description: cilia- and flagella-associated protein 74-like, transcript variant X3
Source: RNAcentral
ACAAAAUGUCAUACAACUAUUGCAUUAAAUAUACAAACACAGAUGAUAACAGUGAAAAAGAGGAUAUACUUAACGAAGCAGUAGAGUAUGCUAUAAGUGAAGAUGUUAAAAGAACACAAGAUUUGUAUAAUUUUAUUGACGAAUUUAUCAACUCGGAAGAAUACCUACAAUACAUAACAGAGAAACGAAAUAUUGCCAAAAAGAACGAAGCCACACAGUACGAUUUAAAUGAUAUAAAUGUUGCUUAUGUACAAGCAGGACAUACAAUAACCUGUUCAUUAGUUGAAGAGCAGAAAAAAAUGCACGCGUUUAAAAUUCAAUUUGAGAAAUUUACAGAGAGGCAGAAAAAUUUACAAAAAAUUAAAAACCAAGAAAACGGUAUAAAGAUAAUAAAGGAAAAAAUUCAGGCAGCAAAACAAAUUUUUGAAUGUUCUAAAGAUAACCAAGCAAAAAAAUUGAGAAAUAUAAAUAAUAAACUGUUAAACAAAUAUACUAAAAAACUAAAUAUAGAUUUAUAUUCUUUUAAAAAUAAAGCACAAGCUGAGGUUUUGGAACGAUUGAGAAACUUGGAAAGACAUAUAUAUCUGUCAAAAAAAAGAAGACAAGAAAAUCUGACGAACAUUCUAAGAAAAUUAGUUAAUGAGCAGCAGGCAAAAAAGCUAGAAAAACGUCCACAAGUUUCUGUUCCUAAAAUUCGAGAUACAGAAAGAAUUAUUAAUAAUAUGGAAAUAGUUGGCACAAAAAUAGAGUUGAUAUGUGGAGAAGAAAUUGAAAAUCAAGAAAUAAUUUCUUCCUCUAAAGAUGUAAUAAAUGAAGCAGAUAAACAAACUAUAUCUACCGAAGAAAAAACAAAAAUGAAGACAACUAAAAAGCCGGGUGCAUUAAAAGAACAAAAUAAAAAUACGACGCAAGAUAAAGAAAACAAAGAAAAAAAGAAAUCUAAAAAAGAGCUAAAGGAGCCACGGGGCAAACAUCAACAGUUUGAAUUGCCAGUAAUACCUGUAAUAAAUCCAAGAUCUAAAGUUCUCCCAGAAAAUACCACAAAAUUAUUAGAUCUAAUAGAAGAAUUCCAAAACUUUGAUGCUAUGUUGGAAGAUACAGAAAUCUGUAAAAAAGGAUAUGACAGUCAUGGCCUUAAAGAUUAUGGCUUAUUAUUAAAACAAAACGAAGUUAUAUUUAAGAAUUAUGACACGCACAAAAGUUAUUCAAAAUCGAUCCGAAUUACGAACGUUUCUACUGAGACAAGAAAAUUACGAUUUUUAAAGUUUUGGUUUGAAGAUUCAUACGAUCAACUCCUUUUCAAAAUACACCCUUUGGGAAUUAAGAAAUUAUAUCCUGGUUGCACCGCACUUUUCUACAUACAUUUUUCUCCGUACGACAGUUCUAAAUCGUAUAAUGGCAAAAUAUUUUUUUGUUCCUAUAAUACUCGAAGGCACCAAUACCAUCAACUUGAAGUAAAUUUGAACUGUCUUCCAAAAUUCGUUAAUUUACAGAUAUUACCUAAUACAAUUAAUUUUGGAAAAAUACCAAUUUGGAAAGCAGGCUAUGGGAAGAGUUUUAAAACUAUUAAGUUCAUCAAUAGAGGAACGAAACCAUGUAAACUACAUGUUAAAAAAAUACAGGAUGAUUUAGAAAUAGAGGACAACCUAAAACAUGAUAAUUCCAGAAACAUAGAUGAAAACUUAAAAUCCCAAAAAAAAACACUUAACGGCAUUACAGAAAACGAUGAAAAUUAUGAAUGUAUUCGGUUUAUCCUAGAUCUGUGCUUAGAAAACAUAGGAAAUACCUUUGAAUUCGAAUGUACUCGAAUCACUCUCAAGGCAGCAGAAGAGAAAAAAAUUAAAGUUCAUUUCAAAAAACCUUCCUACAUUGGCAACUAUUCCGAAAAAUUUUCUGUUGAUGUUUACGAAGAUGUUCCAUAUGAAAGUUUGAAUAUAUUAUGUGGUUGCCAGGAGAUAACUGUAUUUGCUGAAACAGUUGGCCCCUUCAUUUCAGUAAAGCCCAUAUUGUUAGAUUUUGGGACAUGCCUAGUUAAUUCAUGCUAUAAAUUAUGUUUCGAAGUUUUUAACAAUUCUAAUAAUAGUCAAGCAAUAUCUAUACGUAUUCCACAAGAUUUGUGUGACAUGUUUGAAGUAAACGUUUCGACGAUUUAUCUGGCAUCACAAAGUAGUCGUGUAAUGUGGUUAAAAUUUUUCGUAUGCGAUUAUAUGCUCAAAAGCAAUUUCAGUUACUUCUGUAAAUCGACAUCAAUUUUAGAAUUCUACAUUCAUCUACAGCUCGUUAGUAAGAACUAUCUAGAUUAUCCACCACUGAAAAUACCUGUUUAUGCAAUCGUAACGAAUUCCGAUGAACUGGAUAUUUCUGCAAUAUCUACCGAAAAUAUUAAUAAUUUUUUGAAUACAAUAAUGGUGGAUUUGGGAACAUGCUCUAUCUACGAAACUGUUUAUACCGAUAUUUAUUUGACAAACAGUUCCAGUGCAACACAAACAUGUGGAUUUUUUAAUUUACCAGAUUGUGUUAAACUGGAACCCAAUUAUGGGUUUAUCAGAUUGUUUCCAAAUCGGCGUAAAAAGAUUCGAAUAUACGUUAGCCCUGAAAUUCAAGAUUAUCCAAGUUAUGGCGCGGGGAAUUUAAAAAAUAGCGUAUGCUAUUUAAAAUUAGCAAUUGAUACUGUAUAUAACGUUGGACAAUUAAAACGGGAAAUCAGCUCAAAAAAACUUCAGGGUUCCUUCGAUAUGAUGUUAAGUGAAAUAGUUAAGAAAGAUACAGAGCUAAUACAAAGUAUGAUAGGCUUUGUAGCGAAUAUUAAAAAAACAUUGUCAGCAACACCAUGGGCAGAAUUCUUUGAAAUUCAAGAAGCAAGAGAAGAGAAAACACUACAAACCGACAAUGAAACCAAAGUAGAUGAAACCACACAGUGUAAUCUUUCUGCUUUAAACAUACAAAACUUCGUUAUUCUCGAAACCAGUAGUCGUAAAGAUAUUUGGUUAAAGGUAAAUUUGAAAAGACCUCUAGUUGAAUUAUCCCAUCAACUAGUGGAGUUUCCCGACACACCUUGUGGCUCCUAUUCAACGAUGGAAAUAUUUCUCAAUAUGAUCAGAAAGAGAAUGGAACUAGAAUGCGAAACAUUAAACAAAAAGACUAAGCACAAAGAGAAUAUCACUAUACGUUUUAAUAUAUCCAGCGAUAACUCCGAAAUAUCAGUUGAACCAAGAUGUGGAAUAAUCAAAACGGGUCAAUCGAUCAAACUGACCCUACUGGCAAACCCUUUGAUACCUAAAGAUAUUCUCGAUCAGACGGCGAAAUCAAUAAAAUAUCAAGAAUUGUACGAGAUGAAAUUAAAUGAAUUUAAAGCCUCCCAGGGGAAGAAGUAUGGUAAACAAAAUAAAAACAAAUCUAAAAAAUUAUCAAUUGAAUCCACAAAAUCUAAAGGCACAGUGAAAUCUAAAGAAAGCGAAAAUUCUAAAAAGGGCAAAAAGACGACUACCCCAAAAAAGAAAAUAAAAAAUGAGAUGGAAACAGAUAAAAAAGAUGCUGAAGAAGAGCCAGUUAUUGUAAUACCAGAAAAAGAUUUAGAAUAUAGUUAUUUAGAUCUUUUUCCUGCUGAAAUGGUUUACUGGAGAAAUAUGGAACCAUAUUAUAUUAAAGCUAACUUCAUAUGUAAAACGGUCUACGAAAAUGAUGAUACAAUAAAGGAAUUUCGACUGUAUUUCCAAGCUAAUUGUAGAGUUGUUCAACCCGACUUCAUCACAAACUUAAAUCUUCAAAGGAUAGACUUUGGAAGGUGUGCAGUUGGAGGUUCUAUAUUCAAAAUUAUUACGCUUCAAAACAUAAAAUAUCAUAGUAUACAACUAAGGACGUCCCUUCUUGAUCCAUUAGGAUCAUUUUCAAUUACUUGUGUUCCAAAAUUUAAGGUUCCAGCUGAACAUUUCUUAAAUUUGCCUCUUAAAUUUUCACCACAUGCCGUUGGUCAGGUAAAUGAGUACUUUGAAAUACGAACUAAAUCAACGAUAUUACCGUUAAUUCUAAGUGGGCAAGCUGUUCCAAUUAAUGUAAAUAUAAUUCCAGAAGUUACAUUUUUCAGAUUAGAAGUGAAAGGAAAUCGCUUGGCAGAAUUACAACUGAAAAUAUCAAACUUGUCUGAAGUUGAAGUAACGUUACGAUUUAUCAAAUUGUUCGAAAUAGUAAACAAUCCGGAAGAUAUUUCUAGUAAAAACGAAGAUUUGAUAGAUAAAAUAAAAAAUAAAAAUGAUAAAAAAGAUAAGAAAGAGAAAGGUCCAAAAGGAACCAAAUUUUCAAAUGACAUCACUGAUUUAGAAAUAACCACCAUCAGAAAAAACUUUAGCAAAAGUGAAGGUAACACUAAUACUAAUAUAAUUUAUUACAACCAAUAUCAGUAAAGAUAAUUAUAAAUAAAGCAGUGAAUACUUAAAUUUCUGAUGUAUUGUCUGUACAUCAGAAUAUAUUAUAAAAAAAAAUUAUAUUUAUCUAAGUACAGUAUGCACAACAAGAGGACGCAUGACAGUGACAGUAAAUUAACCCUCACAUUUUUGUUUAAAUCAAACAGGAAAUUAUAGUUUGGAACCAAAU